GAGUCCGCACGGGUAGGUACCACCGCCUGUCUAUUUCUGCCGUGAAGCAUAAUGCGUUUCGGUUUUGAAGGGUGGCGUAACCGUUGUAACUAU
RNAcentral lists this microRNA precursor (93 nucleotides) under Bombyx mori (domestic silkworm). Its description in RNAcentral is "microRNA bmo-mir-3287 precursor". Lineage: Eukaryota; Metazoa; Arthropoda; Insecta; Lepidoptera; Bombycidae. The record is from miRBase by way of RNAcentral.